Molecule: non-coding RNA, 72 nt
Organism: Phrynosoma platyrhinos (Desert horned lizard)
Lineage: Eukaryota; Metazoa; Chordata; Lepidosauria; Squamata; Phrynosomatidae
Source: the annotation of a GenBank genome assembly
GCCAGAGUGGUACAGAGGUUUGAGCCUUGGACUAUGACUCUGGAGACUAGGGUUCAGUUCUCCACUUGGGCA